This 117-nucleotide ribosomal RNA is filed under the name Solanum lycopersicum (tomato). The record is from RNAcentral. Lineage: Eukaryota; Viridiplantae; Streptophyta; Magnoliopsida; Solanales; Solanaceae.
GGAUGCGACGUACCAUAACUAACACACCGUAUCCCAUCAGAACUCUGAAGUUAAGCGUGCUUGGGCGAGAGUAGUACUAGGAUGUGUGACCCCAGGAAAGUCCUCGUGUUACAUCCC